CCCACAGAGAAGAGAUCGACGUGUCUUACCACCAAGGAGGUAUAAUAGUAUACUCCGCUUAAUGCUCCAAGGACCCAAGUGCUGAUGGAGAUCAAAAGGUAGCUCUCAGAGGUAAGAAAGCUUCGGACACCCUCUAUCCGAAGGAAUCCCAAUAAGUACUGUUUGUACCAUCGAGAUCAUGGUCAUAAUAUGGAGGAGUAUA
Molecule: long non-coding RNA, 202 nt
Filed under: Elaeis guineensis (African oil palm)
Lineage: Eukaryota; Viridiplantae; Streptophyta; Magnoliopsida; Arecales; Arecaceae
Description: long non-coding RNA (EGUI_LNC035272)
Source: RNAcentral